Molecule: long non-coding RNA, 528 nt
Filed under: Mytilus galloprovincialis (Mediterranean mussel)
Lineage: Eukaryota; Metazoa; Mollusca; Bivalvia; Mytilida; Mytilidae
Source: RNAcentral
AAUUUUCACAAUUAUACCAUGGUUUUGUUGUAUAAGGUAUCCAAAGGAAAAAAAUUGUCAAGACCUGGCCGCGGCCGCCUGAAUUUUUUGAUAGAAACAACAAAGUCAGUGUGGGGCCAAUAAGCUAAACUGCCCGCUUUGCACCAGCUGAAAUAAAUGAUUGCUUAAGGUGGGAAUCGAACCCACAUACACCAACUCUGUUGUCCUAUAUUUUAAAUGAACCAAGAUUCGCUCCCAGAACAAACAAAUAAAGUUUAAAAAUAUGUUGAUUUUCGGUUAUUAAAUGGUAAACUUUCUAUAGGCUCCACUGUACAGCUACAUUUACAUGAAUCACAUCUAACCGUUUGUUUGGCAAGGCGGGUUAGUUUUUAGGGGAUGGAGGGGACAGGAAGCACGCCCCUUUUAAAGAACUUUAAAUAUGGUUAACAAAUAACCUAUUUUAUAGUAUUUUCAAAUGUUGGCUUGCUUUACCCCCACCCCCACUUUAAAAGUGUUUGAUCCACACCCGGUUUAUUAAACACUGCUGAC